Molecule: small nucleolar RNA, 72 nt
Organism: Gigantopelta aegis
Lineage: Eukaryota; Metazoa; Mollusca; Gastropoda; Neomphalida; Peltospiridae
Source: RefSeq, a predicted model, not a curated record
GUCCCAAAUGAUGUUAAAGCUUACCGCCCCAGUCUGAUUCAAUUCAUGAUUGACUGGUAUUAUUCUGAGGGA